Molecule: long non-coding RNA, 353 nt
Organism: Salvia splendens (bonfire salvia)
Lineage: Eukaryota; Viridiplantae; Streptophyta; Magnoliopsida; Lamiales; Lamiaceae
Exons: 3
Source: RefSeq, a predicted model, not a curated record
GCCAAGGCUGUGCUAGAUGACUAGACUUCUACUUGCCACACAUACGACAUCAGAGUGCCGAACAUACUCCUGAUUGGCUACUAUCAGAAGGGUCUUCCCGAUAAAUCUGAUGCAUUGCUUUGGGAUAUUAUAAAUAGGGAAGAAAUACCGACUUCCCUUCAGAAGGGCCGUCGAAUAUCCACGCUUUCUUCUCCUCCUCUGAUGUCCAGUCCUUUCGAUAAGUGCUUAUGGAGCACUCUAAUCGCCGCAUGACACGAUUCUUGAGAACCAGAUACUAAAAAAGAGUUGUGAAUCAGUUGCUCAUGCUAAGAGAUUGAAGGAGGAUUCAAUGCUUUUGCUGAGAUUGUUAUCAU